This 400-nucleotide ribosomal RNA is filed under the name phytoplankton environmental sample. RNAcentral's name for it is "partial small subunit ribosomal RNA". It matches the Rfam family "Eukaryotic small subunit ribosomal RNA", at positions 587 to 988 of the family's 1831-position model. The record is from RNAcentral.
AGCUCCAAUAGCGUAUAUUAAAGUUGUUGCAGUUAAAAAGCUCGUAGUCUAAACCUUGGCUGGCAUUGAGGUGUCUGUGGCGUCAUGUCACGACGCAAACUGCCUGGCCAUGUACUUCGGAGGAACAUGCAUGCUUUUAAUUAAGUUUGUAUGGGAUUCCGAUAGUUUACUUUGAGAAAAAUAGAGUGUUCAAAGCAGGCGUUUGCCUUGAAUACGUUAGCAUGGGAUAAUGAAAUAGGACAUUGGUUCUAUUUUGGUGGUUUACGGACCGAUGUAAUGAUUAAUAGGGACAGUUGGGGACAUUCAUAUUCCAUGGCUAGAGGUGAAAUUCUUGGAUUCAUGGAAGAUGAACUACUGCGAAAGCAUUUGUCAAAGAUGUUUUCAUUGAUCAAGAACGAAA